GAUGAACGCUGGCGGCGUGCCUAAUACAUGCAAGUCGAGCGAACGGACGAGAAGCUUGCUUCUCUGAUGUUAGCGGCGGACGGGUGAGUAACACGUGGAUACCCUACCUAUAAGACUGGGAUAACUUCGGGAAACCGGCGCUAAUACCGGAUAAUAUUUUGAACCGCAUGGUUCAAAAGUGAAAGACGGUCUUGCUGUUGAUCACAGAUGGAUUCGCGCUGCAUUAGCUAGUUGGUCAGGUAACGGCUUACCCAGGCAACGAUGCAUAGCCGACCUGAGAGGGGGUACGCGCACACUGGAACUGGGACACGGUCCAGACUCCUACGGGAGGCAGCAGUAGGGAAUCUUCCGCAAAGGGCGAAAGCCUGACGGAUCAACGCCGCGUGGGUGAUGAAGGUCUUCGGAGCGUAUGACGCUGUUAGUGUUGAAGAACAUAUUUGUAAGUAACUGUGCACAUCGUGACGGUACCUAGUCAGAAAGCCACGGCUAACUACGUG
Molecule: ribosomal RNA, 497 nt
Filed under: uncultured bacterium
Lineage: Bacteria
Description: partial 16S ribosomal RNA
Rfam family: Bacterial small subunit ribosomal RNA
Source: RNAcentral